GGACCAAGGAGUCUAGCAUGUGCGCGAGUCAUUGGGAUUUUUACUAAACCUAAAGGCGCAAUGAAAGUGAAGGUCCGCCUUGCGCGGACCGAGGGAGGAUGGACCGUUCCGAGGGACGGCCUCGCACUCCCGGGGCGUCUCGCUCUCAUCGCGAGAAGAGGCGCACCCAGAGCGUACACGCUGGGACCCGAAAGAUGGUGAACUAUGCCUGGUCAGGACGAAGUCAGGGGAAACCCUGAUGGAGGUCCGUAGCGAUUCUGACGUGCAAAUCGAUCGUCGGAACUGGGUAUAGGGGCGAAAGACUAAUCGAACCAUCUAGUAGCUGGUUCCCUCCGAAGUUUCCCUCAGGAUAGCUGGCGCUCGCUUCUCGCGAGUCUCAUUCGGUAAAGCGAAUGAUUAGAGGCAUUGGGGUCGAAACGGCCUCAACCUAUUCUCAAACUUUAAAUGGGUGAGAUCUCCGGCUUGCUUGAACUGUGAAGCCGCGAGAUAUCGGAUCAGAGUGCCAAGUGGGCCACUUUUGGUAAGCAGAACUGGCGCUGUGGGAUGAACCAAACGCAGAGUUAAAGCGCCUAAAUCGACGCUUAUGGGAUACCAUGAAAGGCGUUGGUAACUUAAGACAGCAGGACGGUGGCCAUG
RNAcentral lists this ribosomal RNA (636 nucleotides) under Maladera insanabilis. Its description in RNAcentral is "eukaryotic LSU rRNA". It matches the Rfam family "Eukaryotic large subunit ribosomal RNA", at positions 663 to 1256 of the family's 3401-position model. Lineage: Eukaryota; Metazoa; Arthropoda; Insecta; Coleoptera; Scarabaeidae. The record is from RNAcentral.